UCCAUACUCUACAUGUGCACGAAAACCGAUUUUAAAAAUAUUGCUUCCUUAUUUAAUAAAAAAUCAAAAACCAAAAAAAAAUGAGGAAAUGCUUCCAGUUUUGCCUUAAGACUAGAUUCGGAACUCCGUCCGGACCUCGGAAGUCACGAUAACUAAAUGGUGUCUGCCGCAAAAUUGUAGAUAAUAUCAUGCAGAAAAAUGUUGUCGAACACACUUUUGCUCCUUUGGAAAUAAGCGAUAUAUAAUAAAUUUAGUAUAAACAACUCCCUCAAACCUUGAAAACCACUAAGUCCUUUAUAUCUUUCUUGGAUAAGGUUUUCAUGACUUCUGAUGUUCUGAACACUUUUUCAGUAUAUUAUUAUGCAUGUUUUUCUGUAGACGGUGAUGCCAUAUUAUUAUUGUUUCUACGUGAUUUUUUAGUUUUUCUUUAAAAAAUGACCUUUGCUUUCUCACCGAAGUGUACAGAAAGGCUAUAUAUUUACUCAAAAAACGAAUUUUCGAUAGAAGGCUUGUCCCUCCAGUCACAUAUAUGAAUCAACUUAGUUCGACGAAUUGAGAUGAUGUCAAAAGUGAGCCAAGCCCCAUCAUGCGACACAUCAAACUGCGGUUAUUUUUGUAACCUAUAGCAUGAUUCAGGAAUUAUAUGUGGAAAUGAACACUGGAGACCAGAAAUUUCACGAUGUCAGCCCAAAAUCCAAGAUGGCAGCCUAUUAUUCAAGAUGGCGGCUGUUCAAUAGAGUUUUAGGCUCUAAAACAGUCUUCCCAAACGAACACCGAACUCGCUAAGUACUGCUGUAUUUAAACUCCGCCUUUACUCUGACUUGGUGUUCAAACCGCAACACACAAAUCUGUACCCAAACGUGUACUUAUGUUCAGAGUUCGUUCCAAACGCAAGUACGAACAUAUGUACAGUACACGUGUAUCGCACGAAACGAAGUGGGAAGCGAUCGUGCAAUAAAGAACUUUCUCGAACGACGAUUGACAGUUCGGCACUACUCGUUUACCAAUCGGAAAGCCGCUUCGGGUUUCAUUCUCGAUUUUCGCUCGGUUCGACUUUUGUU
Long non-coding RNA from Aedes albopictus (Asian tiger mosquito), 1061 nucleotides. RefSeq lists it as uncharacterized. NCBI's taxonomy places the organism in Eukaryota, Metazoa, Arthropoda, Insecta, Diptera, Culicidae. The transcript has 3 exons. The record is from RefSeq and is a predicted model, not a curated record.